Molecule: long non-coding RNA, 1067 nt
Organism: Gasterosteus aculeatus aculeatus (three-spined stickleback)
Lineage: Eukaryota; Metazoa; Chordata; Actinopteri; Perciformes; Gasterosteidae
Source: Ensembl
GUGAGAGGUAUGUUAAGGGGGAGAAGGGGAAGCGAUACGCCUCUCUGCCUGGCGGAGAUAAAGGGGGCCCUGGCUGCGCGCGCGUUGGAUGAGAUAGGUCCUCCUCUCCAACCGGGGGGCCCGUGCUGGCUCUCGUCCAGUCUUAUCAUAUGACGUACAAGCAACCGGGCCGUCUGCUUGCGGCUUGCGAAGGAGAAGUGCACGAGCAGCCUUGAAAUUGGGAUCAAAUCCAGGCCUCCCGUCGGAGGAGAAAGGACCAUUCUCCACUUCUCCAUCUAGCGGUGGAGAGGCUCAACGUGCGCAAUACCGAGCUGCAUCCUGCCAAAAUAUGAUGCACCUGCACUCAGCAUCCAGCAGGUGGUGGUGCUGCGCCUGCACUCAGCAUCCAGCAGGUGGUGGUGUUGCUCUAGACGUGUUCCCUCGUCCAUUCAAGUUUCUAUUUCUGCUAAUUCGUUGGAGAUGGCAGAUAUAGUCACAUUUUUAAAACAGGACUUUUAUAUUAUAUAUAUUAUCUAUAGAAGGAUGGUUGAAUACGACUUCCGUAAUAAUUUGUUUCAUAUGGUUGAUGAUGACGGUUUGUCUCUGCAUAUAUUAAAAAUGCACAUAUUACUCAGGUACAUGGUCCUCUAAGUUAAUGAUUACAUAAAGCCUGUGACCACCAGAAUGUAUCUGACAUUUAAAAUGUCUUGCUAAGUAUACAGUGUUUGAAUGAAAUAACAUUUUUAAGUGUCGUUUAUAGAAGUUCACAUCAAACAACUGAGCUAAUCCUCUUUGUUGGGCUCAGGUCAGCGGGUUUUGUCCGAUUUGUGUCAUCAGAUCUUCUGACAACAAAACAAAUCAUGCAGAAUAACAAACGCUGUUGCAACAGGAUGUAAAAAGUGGAGACCCAUCUCUCAGUGUCCGCGGCUCUUCAAGGAGAUAUGUUUUUUGAGCGCCUUUCAAGAUUUGUUUUUAGAGGCGCCCUAUGAAUAAGAAACGAUGGUUUGCAGGUGAAAACCCAUUUACGAGUCUACAUUAAAACAUGGACACAAUAUGAUUUAAAGGGAAAGUUAUUUCAGGCAUCCAGG